This 373-nucleotide long non-coding RNA is filed under the name Mustela putorius furo (domestic ferret). Its description in RNAcentral is "lncRNA (ENSMPUG00000024286.1)". Lineage: Eukaryota; Metazoa; Chordata; Mammalia; Carnivora; Mustelidae. The record is from RNAcentral.
GUCACAAUCCACUAGAAUACUUCUGAUUGGAGGUUCCAUUACUCUUUAAGUCUUGGCCUGUUCUUUGGUUAUUUGGCUGGGCAGGUCAUGGGUGCUCUGAUCUAAACAGAGACAAAAUAUUCUGUAACAUUGACAAGAUGCUUGUAAAGUGAGGGGAAUGAGCUUCCCUCAAAAUGCUUAUAAAGGAAAGACCACCAUGAGCUAUUUGAAUCCUGGAACUUUGUGGGGAAUGAGGGGGUACCGUGUCAGCAAAAAUGGAGGCAGAGAUUGGCUCUGCCUGGGAAAUGGAAGAAAUGUCAGUGCUGGCCUCACAGAGCCCUGGAUGCUCUCCUGGGGUUUAGAGAAGAUGCUACUACCCACCACUAACGCUUAG